Molecule: long non-coding RNA, 722 nt
Filed under: Felis catus (domestic cat)
Lineage: Eukaryota; Metazoa; Chordata; Mammalia; Carnivora; Felidae
Description: lncRNA (ENSFCAG00000042887.2)
Source: RNAcentral
GUAAAAUCUUCAACUUGUCAGCAGAUCAAGCUGUCCCUAAAUGAGCAGGACAGCUCCCCACGCCCCCAAGAGGUGCACAGGUGGCUGUUACAGGGACACUUUUCAUAGGCUUUACCAGAGAUUAUAACUUUAUAGAUUGGCAUUAAGCCUGUAAAGCAAUGAUGAUUCCCAAAAGUUGGAAGAGAAGAAUGGGGAGGUACAUUGAAUAAGCCUGGAUUUUUGCCACUUUGAAUUAAGCCUUCUUAAAUUCAGAGCCCAGAAGCUCCCUUGUCAUUUUGAGAUUCAUAUCAGUGGAGAUGAUGCUGACUGUAGCAUAACAGAAACAAAGAAAGCCACAGGCUGCUAGAGAUGACUCCUGCCAAGGUGGCAGCAGUAGGAGCCUAUAACCAACAGAUGAGAGGUGUAAAGCUCAUACAUGCUGCCCUCAUGGCCAUCUGGAUCUUGCCAGCAGAAGGCCCACUCUGCAGUUAAAGAAGUUGGAAAAUAGUGAAAGCACCCAAUUCAGACCAUAACAACUGAAUCCAAACCUUGGUUCUGCAGAAUCCUGAAAAGUAAGUCUUAGCAUUUGCUCUAAUAACAUCCAUUGUCCUGGAUGCACAGAUGAAAUAGCAUAUGUAGAAGAACUUUAUGAUCUAUAAAGCAUUAAAGAUAAACUCAAGGUCUUGUUCCCUAAGGGGCUGUUUUUGAACCUAUGCUAUUAAUAAAGGGGGCAAUAUUGUGCA